AGACUCUUCUCUGCUUUAUCGUCUUCUGGGUUUUAGCUCUUUGUUAUAAAUCUUUUGUUCUUUUCUUGUUCGUUGAGCUUCUGUUCUUGAGCUUCUAUAUGCCAAAUCAAAAGAUGAGGCUGAAUCUCUUAAAUUUACUCAAAAGAAUCUGAUUAACAAGAUUUACAUGAAGAAGCCCUAAACAUAAUCUUGACUUGAGAUAAUAAUUUCAUGUGACAUUUAUCAUGCAGCUAUCCAUUAAAGCUGGAGGAGUUGGAUUAACUUUAACUGCUGCAAGCACAUGUGUCUUUGCAGAACUAGGACUCCAGGUGACCUAAUUCAGGCAAAAAAUUGUGCUCAUAGAAUUGGCUAGGUCUCUUCAGUAAAUAUAUACUACUUGCUGGCAAAUGAUAUGGUUGAUGACAUCACAUGGAAUGUGGUGCAGUUCAAAUUGGAUAAUUUGGGGCAGAUGUUAGAUGGCCAUGAGAACAUGCUAGCUGUGUCGAAUAAUCAGCCAGAGUAGCCCUGCAAAGCAUACUACUACUGAGCAUAUAGCUCUUCAAAACAGAGAACUCUUGAACAGUUUGUUACAAGAUGUGAUAAAGUGAAUAGGUUGGAACAUCAGCCUGACCCAAAACGACUCCAUCAAUCAUGACUUGCGAAAUACGCAAGAUGAAAAGUAAAUCCAUUUUGCACAUACGAGACCGGUGACAGGUGAAUCGGAACUUAAAUGUUGAUGUCUACAUGCAGAAGUUUUCCACUUGUUCUUAACUUUUUGCUCCCCUAGCUAUGUAUGGGGAUUUGUAUAGAGUAGUAUAUUAUCAUAUAUGAAUUA
Arachis duranensis is the source of this 814-nucleotide RNA transcript. RefSeq lists it as uncharacterized. The record is from RefSeq and is a predicted model, not a curated record. The transcript has 4 exons. NCBI's taxonomy places the organism in Eukaryota, Viridiplantae, Streptophyta, Magnoliopsida, Fabales, Fabaceae.